This is a non-coding RNA of Trichonephila inaurata madagascariensis, 72 nucleotides long. The record is from the annotation of a GenBank genome assembly. NCBI's taxonomy places the organism in Eukaryota, Metazoa, Arthropoda, Arachnida, Araneae, Nephilidae.
GUUCCUGCAGCGCAAUGGAGAGCGCAUUGACUUCUAAUCCAAAGGUCGUGGGUUCGAACCCCAUCUGGAAUA